UACCAGCUCUCCGAGUGGUAGGGAUGAUUAUUGGGCUUAAAGCGUCCGUAGCCGGCUUAGCAAGUCCCCUGUUAAAUUCAGCGACCUAAUCGUUGAGCCGCGGGAGAUACUACUAGGCUAGGAGGCGGGAGAGGUCGACGGUACUUCUGGGGUAGGGGUGAAAUCCUAUAAUCCCGGGAGGACCACCAGUGGCGAAGGCUGUCGACUAGAACGCGCUCGACGGUGAGGGACGAAAGCUGGGGGAGCGAACCGGAUUAGAUACCCGGGUAGUCCCAGCUGUAAACGAUGCGGGCUAGGUGUUGGGGUGGCUACGUGCCUCUUCAGUGCCGCAGGGAAGCCAUUAAGCCCGCCGCCUGGGGAGUACGGCCGCAAGGCUGAAACUUAAAGGAAUUGGCGGGGGAGCGACCACAAGGCGUGAAGCUUGCGGUUC
Molecule: ribosomal RNA, 430 nt
Filed under: uncultured archaeon
Lineage: Archaea
Description: bacterial SSU rRNA
Rfam family: Archaeal small subunit ribosomal RNA
Source: RNAcentral